GACGAACGCUGGCGGCGUGCCUAAUACAUGCCAGUAGAACGCACAGUUUAUACCGUAGCUUGCUACACCAUAGACUGUGAGUUGCGAACGGGUGAGUAACGCGUAGGUAACCUGCCUGGUAGCGGGGGAUAACUAUUGGAAACGAUAGCUAAUACCGCAUAAUAUUGAUUAUUGCAUGAUAAUUAAUUGAAAGGUGCAAUUGCACCACUACCAGAUGGACCUGCGUUGUAUUAGCUAGUAGGUGAGGUAACGGCUCACCUAGGCGACGAUACAUAGCCGACCUGAGAGGGUGAUCGGCCACACUGGGACUGAGGCACGGCCCAGACUCCUACGGGAGGCAGCAGUAGGGAAUCUUCGGCAAUGGACGAAAGUCUGACCGAGCAACGCCGCGUGAGUGAAGAAGGUUUUCGGAUCGUAAAGCUCUGUUGUAAGAGAAGAACGGGUGUGAGAGUGGAAAGUUCACACUGUGACGGUAUCUUACCAGAAAGGGACGGCUAACUACGUG
Molecule: ribosomal RNA, 505 nt
Filed under: uncultured bacterium
Lineage: Bacteria
Description: partial 16S ribosomal RNA
Rfam family: Bacterial small subunit ribosomal RNA
Source: RNAcentral